UGGAUGCACCCAUUGCUGUUGACAAUGUCACCGCCACCGCUACCAUACACUACUCCAGCAGUUCUCUAAGCACAGCUCCCACGACCCUUGUAUCAACUCCUGCAACAAAUGCCACACCUGUUGCAGACAACUUUACUGAUUCCUUGAGAAGCUUGAAUUCAAAGAAAUACCCAGCAAAAGUUCCAUUAAAGAUCGACCAUUCCCUGCUUUUCACCAUCAGCCUCGGCAUCAACCCUUGCUCUACCUGCGCCAAUGGCAGCCGCGUGGUGGCGGAUAUUAAC
Molecule: long non-coding RNA, 281 nt
Filed under: Carica papaya (papaya)
Lineage: Eukaryota; Viridiplantae; Streptophyta; Magnoliopsida; Brassicales; Caricaceae
Description: long non-coding RNA (CPAP_LNC007267)
Source: RNAcentral